UACGUAGGGGGCAAGCGUUGUCCGGAUUUAUUGGGCGUAAAGAGCGUGUAGGCGGCCAGGUAGGUCUGCUGUGAAAACUCGAGGCUUAACCUCGAGAUGUCGGCGGAAACCAUCUGGCUAGAGUCCGGAAGAGGAGAAUGGAAUUCCCGGUGUAGCGGUGAAAAUGCGCAGAUAUCGGGAAGAACACCCGUGGCGAAGGCGGUUCUCUGGGACGGUACUGACGCUGGAGACGCGAAAGCGUGGGGAGCGAACAGG
RNAcentral lists this ribosomal RNA (255 nucleotides) under uncultured bacterium. RNAcentral describes it as "partial 16S ribosomal RNA". It matches the Rfam family "Bacterial small subunit ribosomal RNA", at positions 524 to 776 of the family's 1533-position model. The record is from RNAcentral.